UAACAGAAUACAACCUGAAAAAGAAAAAGGCAAUUGAUGGCUGCCUGUUUGUCCUGAUGAUAGUUUACUUCCAUCUAUCAAAAAAUAAAGACAAGAAAGGAGAAGAAAGACCCCCAGAACCUUGGAUUGCCAACUGGACUAGAGAGCAGUUGGUUGAAAGAAUGAGAGCUAAAAUGGAUGAACAUAUGGAAAUUGUAAAGAUGGCAGAAACAAAGGAGAAAAUGAAACAAAUGAAGAAAAAAGAAAAAACCAAAAAAAACAAAAAAGGAAGGAAAGUUCAUCAUCAUCUGAGCAUGAAACAACUGAAAGUGAAGUCUAUUCUACCUCUGAGUCUGAGACUGAAGAAGACUCAGAGGAACUAACAAGGAAACAACCCACCCGAACAGCCAAAAAAAUGGAAUCCAAAAAA
Molecule: non-coding RNA, 409 nt
Organism: Arachis ipaensis
Lineage: Eukaryota; Viridiplantae; Streptophyta; Magnoliopsida; Fabales; Fabaceae
Source: RefSeq, a predicted model, not a curated record